GCAUGAAGUUGGAAUUGCUAGUAAUCGCGAAUCAGAAUGUCGCGGUGAAUACGUUCCCGGGCCUUGUACACACCGCCCGUCACACCAUGAGAGUCGAUAACACCCGAAGCCUGUGAGCUAACCGUAAGGAGGCAGCAAUCGAAGGUGGGGUUGAUGAUUGGGGUGAAGUCGUAACAAGGUACC
This 183-nucleotide ribosomal RNA is filed under the name uncultured bacterium. Its description in RNAcentral is "partial 16S ribosomal RNA". It matches the Rfam family "Bacterial small subunit ribosomal RNA", at positions 1318 to 1500 of the family's 1533-position model. The record is from RNAcentral.